Molecule: ribosomal RNA, 253 nt
Filed under: uncultured bacterium
Lineage: Bacteria
Description: partial 16S ribosomal RNA
Rfam family: Bacterial small subunit ribosomal RNA
Source: RNAcentral
UACAGAGGCCUCAAGCGUUGUUCGGAAUCACUGGGCGUAAAGCGUGCGCAGGCGGUUAUGCAAGACAGAUGUGAAAUCCCCGGGCUCAACCUGGGAACUGCAUUUGUGACUGCAUGACUUGAGUACGGUAGAGGGGGAUGGAAUUCCGCGUGUAGCAGUGAAAUGCGUAGAUAUGCGGAGGAACACCGAUGGCGAAGGCAAUCCCCUGGACCUGUACUGACGCUCAUGCACGAAAGCGUGGGGAGCAAACAGG